This is a long non-coding RNA of Triticum aestivum (bread wheat), 2690 nucleotides long. RefSeq lists it as uncharacterized. The record is from RefSeq and is a predicted model, not a curated record. NCBI's taxonomy places the organism in Eukaryota, Viridiplantae, Streptophyta, Magnoliopsida, Poales, Poaceae. The transcript has 4 exons.
UCCACGCACAUGCUCGCCCCAUCAAUCCCUCGCUACCCCUAGCGAGUCUCCAUGUCUCCAGCCGCCGCCGCACCCCAAUCCCCGAUCGUCGUGUCUCCUGGCGAUGACCCCCUCCUCACUCCCUCUUUGUUCUCAUCCUCAAGGCGUCAUCGUCGGCUCCCCUCCUCCGUGAUUCGGCCAUGGCUGCCACUGACGCCCUCCUCUCCAUCGCCACCGGCCAGCCCUCACCUCCACGUCACCGUCUCUCAACCUCCAUCGAUCUCCUGGAUGGAUCUGUCGAUGUUACUAGAUCGACGGAGGGGGGCCUCCACCAUCGCCGUUCUUCUCCCUCCCCAAUCUCCCAUUGUUGUGCUCCUCGGAUCCGGCCAUGGCCAGAACCGACACUGCAUUCCCGGCCACCACCGACAACACCAGCGAGGUGGCCACGGUGGUCGAUACCGGAUCCAUGGAGGAGCUCACCCCGACCUUCUCCUCGUUUCCCCCCAUGGCUGGGUCUCCUGAUCCCUGGAAGUGCUUUGUUACGGGCAACUCUAUAGGAAGGCACAUCAUGUGUGGCAAAAAUACUUCACGUAUUGUUCUAACUGAGUUCCCCAUAAAGUGCAUUGCAACUGAUAGCUUUGUUCCAGGGAGUGUUGAUAUGCAGACGACCCUGAUGACCGCAUCCCCGAUCUUAGUUGCUCGGGCGUUCAAUUUUUGUGGUCGACUCAUCCUCGGUCACUCCAUCCUAGCCUGGGCAAAUCAAUUUUUGUGAACACGUCAAAGUUCUGAAUCAGGCGAUGUUCAACACCCAAAACCCACGCAAUUCCUCCUUCCAUUACUCUCAUUUUGAUUUUGACGUGUUCACUGACUUUGACCCUGACAUGCAGGAGUCCGCUGCCUCGCCCUCCCCGGGAUGGGGAAUUUCGACCUCCUUGGCGAGCAUGUACACACGUACUGGAGAUCUGGAGCAGAAAUAAGGUUAGGCUGACGCGACGAUGCAGAAGAACAACAGCCACAUGCCUCUGCUACCUGACGACUCACAUGUAUCAAUGGAGUGCCUAGCUAGGCAUAUAUUUUGAUUCUUCAGGUUCAUGUUCACUAUAUGUUUUUUUGGAAUGCAAAACUUGGUGUGAUUUCAUACGAGUCAAACAAUGAUUGGAUAAGCUGCUGCAAAAUUUAAUAGAGACUUUGGUAAUACAAAUCCCCUUCCACUACCUCUGUUCUUAGUCACUUUGCCCAUGAUAUUUAGGUGAUGCAAAAUGCAGUUGACCCACCAUCUAUCUGAAAAUAUUUAUAUGUUGUUCUUAUUUUGGGAUGUUCAAAUAUGUCCUAAAGAUGUUUGAAGAAACGGUUAGCCGGUGGUAUCUUUGGCCAGAUGAUUCAACUGUCCUCUAUGAUCCGAAACUUCUGUACCGCCCAUGCCUCCUUAUCUGUCUUCUCCGUGCGCAGCAGCUGGAAGAGAACCUGAGGAAGAGACUAAUUGAAAGUCUUUUUUCUCCAUUUGUACCACCUGGAAGAUAAUUUGAGGAAGAGACUAAAAGGAACAUAAAUGAGUUUUUGAUUCUGGUCUAAGAAAAUUAGUUCUUGUAUGUGUCUCGGUGAGAAAGAGUAUGUGAACUUUGGUGAAUACUUCUACACUGUCAAACUAUUUUUUUUAGUUGGACUGUCAAACCACCUAGAAAUGCCGACAGAGAUGAAAAAUAUUUAGCAGGUUUCUGACAGUAUUGAGCAUGACUUUCUUUUGGUACUACUAAGACAAGCUCUAGAAAUUGGCAUGCUUUUAUGAGAAGGUUAUGUUUUCUGGUCUACUUCAUUUCAUUCAAAUGCAGGCUACUAAAUAUUAAUUAUUUAUAUUUCAUUGGUGCACAUGUGCAUGCAUUUAUAUUCAGGUACCAAGAUGUAUUGAAAAGCUUAUACAAGAAGGAAUUAAGAUAUGUGUGUUGAUGGUGACAAAAAUGGAUAGCUAUCAAUAUUGGGGUUUUAUUUCAGCUGAUAUGGAUGGACUACUUGAGAUUUGUUUUUGGAAAAUAUGGGAACUACAUUUUCCUACAAGUUUUCAGUGCAUGCUUGGAGAAGUGGAUAAAAUUUUAGAGGAAAUAGGUAAAAUGAGCAAGAGGCAUGAGCAGAAAGGAGAACGCCUCAGGGACGACGCCGCAUGUAUUGCCUCUGGAGGAGUUGCAGUGGCCGGCCAUCGUGUUGGGGAAGCAGAGAGGAUUUCGAAACGCUUACAAGGCCUAGAGGAGGAUGGUCGUGAGCAGUUUUGUGGGGCACUUGUCAACGUAAGAGUGUAAUUGCUCAAGGGAGAAGGAAAUGGCAAAGAAUCCAUCAAAAUUUAUGGUGUGGAUGUCGAAGGUUGGGGGAUUUUCAGAAGGAUGCGCCAUUGAUGGUAGUUGCGAGCUUGGCAGGAAGCUUGAAUCGGGGAGGUAGAGAUAUUGGAUGAAGAGGAGGAGCAGGAAGACAAAGAAUAAGAGUGCUUUAAGGGUAGCCCGUAGCAACACGUGGGCAUUUUACUAGUAAAGAAUGAGUUCACAAUAGUACCAAGAGUGGUGAUUUAUUUUCUUAUACUAACAGAGCUUAUGAGAUUUUUCUGUUGAGUUUUGUGUUGUGAAGUUUUCAAGUUUUUGGUAAGGAUUUGAUGGGUUAUGGAAUAAGGAGUGGCAAGAGCCUAAUCUUGGGGAUGCCCAAGGCAUCCCAAGGUAUUAUUCAAGGAC